GGGGGUCCAACCCCAGGGACACUGCCUCCGAGCGGGGCUCCCCAGAGAGUCGGGAUGGGCCGUCCUGCAAACCACAAGCUGCAACGCUGCCAUCGGCCCCCGAGCCCCAUCACCGCACGGAUCGGAUCGGGGAGCUAGAGCCCAGGGGAGGCAAGGCGGCUGCCCCCCAACCCGGAAAGGCAGCAGCACUAGGUGCUUCUUCCCGUCGCUGUGUUUUCUCGUGGGGAGAAGCUCCAAAGGCCAGGUUCCCGAGCCUCACGGGCGCCGCUGGGGCUCUCGGCCUCGCCAGCUCUGGGGGCCCAAGCCCCCGGCCAACACGGAGCCGGCCUCGGUGGAAACGGGUGUCAACGUCUGGGUUCCGAGCAAACCCCAGGUGGGGCCUCCUUGCUAGGAAGUCUCGCGUUGCAUCAGCGGUGGCAGUUCUGGCGUUUGGUUUCCCGGGCUGGGAUCUGGAGCGACGCAGGGGAGCGGAACGGCCCCAGUCAGCCGCACCCUCUACAGCGCGGCCCUCGAGCUGUGGUGCUCACCAGAACCCGCGACGGCGCUCUGCAAAGUGGACCGGAAGCCCCAGGACACCGACGCGCCCGUGUGCACCCGUCCGCACUUGAGAGGCACCACGCUGAACGCCGCGGCUCCGGCUGGUCUCUCUGCCCCAAUUCCCCUUGGACCCAGAACCAACCACCUCACAGAGGCUUCCCAUUUCCUGUGGGCCGGCGUCCGAACUCCUGAAUCAUACCUUACAGCGCCCCCAACCCCCAGGCCCAGUUUAUCUCAGACUUCCCCUCCCCUGACUACCCUGCACACGCGGCCCGGCCACGCGGACAGGCUCUCCUCUCCCUGCACGAACCCCACACGCCGCUGCCCCUACACGCGCUAGCUGCCUUUACCGCGACUUCCCCUUUCACAACAAUGAUUCCCAGCCACUCGGACACCCCGGCCUGGAUCAUUCUUUCAGCGGCGGCCGUCCUGUGCAGGCAGGGAGCUUAGCUGCUCGCUGCCCUGUAUUUACCAGAUGUACUAUUUACCAUGACAGUCAAAUAUGUCCCCCAACAUCGCCCCAUGUCCCGUGGGGAACAUCACCCAGUUGAGAGUCAGAUCUGUUUAGAUGCGAGGCCAGGUUCACGGGCUAAUUGAACAACUCUGCACUUGCCCGACCCUGGGAGGCGGCAUCGCCUUGGACCUCACAGCCUACGUGUCUUACCUGCCUCGUCUUAGGGCCCAGCCUUACUGCACAAAGCUGUCCCUCGCUUCUGUUCUGGAGGGUGUCGAGAGCUCUAUGCCCAUAGAGAGUUUAUUCUGACUCGUCAAAUAUCUGUUUGCUAGAUCUGAAGCCCUGGGAGGGCUCUGCUUCUGCUGGGGCUCCUGAGGCCUGACUCCUGUGACCAAAGAAGACUGCCGAGGUGACCGCGGGCCUCUCCAGGCUGGGCCGUUACAGGUACUGAAGCUUCUGCCUCGUCGCUGGGAUCAGGCUGUGAGGACGCUCAAGCAGCCCCAGAAAUGGGCCCCCAAGUUUUAGCUGGGCCCGUGGACAUCCAGAGGAAAGAAACACAACUUCCGGCCUCCUUUGACUAACCUCUGGCCGCUGAAAUGCACGUGCAGAUGCCAAGAGGCGGCUCCCACCAUCCCACCUUAAGAGGCCACAGGUGAGCACCCUGUCCCCUCACCGUCCUCUCUGUUCCCUCAGGGCCAAGCAGACACCCGUCCGUGACGUGGCCCCCACACAUCGCUGCGAGCACAGCUCAAACCUCUAACGGGUGCUGCAGAAUGUUUCUGUAAGGGCUGGCUAUUCCAGACAACAAAGCCCUCGUGUUGGGCAAAGGCAGACGACAUCACAGCCGUUCACCCUGCACAGAGCAAGGGCCGCGGCAACGAUCUUGAUGAACAUUUAUCGAAAGCUUGCUCGGUUCCAGGCACGGUUCUGUGCACGUCACGCGGAUCCAUGUACAAUCCCGACACAAUUCACACAUCGAUCUUCAACGCCCUGUGAUGCUGUGUUCUUGGCUACAUGUCGCAGACCAGGAAAGAAAAGGAACAGAGAGGUGCGGGCCCCGGCCCAGGUGAAGGACGAUGGCUAGCGGCCAGAAUGAGGCCCCUGCCACCACUGAGCUCCCCUCCAAAGGGGGCUCUCACUGGGUCCUAAGCCAGAGUUUAGCCCUAUGUGGGCACGGGUGACCUGUGACCCAUUGUGACCACCAAGCACUUGAAUAAUAGGUUUGGUUUUGGUUUGGGUGGUGCCGAUUGGUUUGUUUUGGGGGGAAAGAGGACAGGAGGGGCCUUCUGCCCAGGCGCCUGGAGAGAAAGUGACUGGAAGGCUCUAACUCUGUGACAGGAGCUCAAGCCAGAGCUGACGGGCCCAUUUCCCGGGAGAGAGGCAGGCGAGGAGCUUGGGAGGUGGGCGUUCUCCCCACUUCAGCGGGAACCCACAGAGCAUCAUCCAUCCGGUGACUCCUCCGGGGGAUCCGGGGCCACCCUGGCAGCCCAGGGUCUGCAGCCCGUGCUCUGCUGGUCGACGUGGCCGGACCCAGGGUCGUGAAGGGCUCCAGAGGGGACAGGCUGCCCCGUAUGUCUGGACAGGCCACACACACAAGCGGGGCGGGGCAUCUGUCCUGCCGAUUCCACGGAAGCCCUGUGCCGGUGUCUGUGCUGGGCUCUCUCCCAGGCACUCUUGGAAAGGUGUUCUCAGAAGGCGAAUGUCCCAAAUUAAGACGGCAGCGGGCGGAGCCUGUGACAUAUAAAUCACUGCCAUCCAUGAGACCCCAGGGGAGCUUGGGGUCUCUACUGUCAUGGGUCAAGUAGAUUUCGCUGCCCGUAUUCCUUAUGGGGAGGGGGCACCUUAAAACCAAACAUAUAUAGCAAACUCGUUGACUAAAAAUGCACCAAACAAUGUCCCCAAAUUCUGCUUUUGAACGCAAGCAGAUUGUUGGAGUUUUAUGCCUCCGAUUAUGUUAAGAAAUGUACAGUUUCUAAAUAACCAUUUUUUACAGGCAUCUUACUAUCGUCUACAAGUCAGAAUAAUGAUUUGUUGAAUGAGCUAUUCCUGCGCUCAGACGAAGAAGACAGCCCGUUGAGCUGGACGUAGAUGACGGUCUCGGCCGUGUGCUGGGAAAGCGCGUCUCCGGGAGAAAGCCAUUACAAGCGCCCGUCUGUAGCGUUUGCGGAUUUCUGUGCCGUAAAUACUUCUAUUGCC
Felis catus (domestic cat) is the source of this 3187-nucleotide long non-coding RNA. RefSeq lists it as uncharacterized. Lineage: Eukaryota; Metazoa; Chordata; Mammalia; Carnivora; Felidae. The record is from RefSeq and is a predicted model, not a curated record. The transcript is spliced from 2 exons.